GCCAGGCAUGGUGGUGCAUGCCUGUAAUCCCACCAGUUUGGGAGGCUGAGGCAGGAGCAUCAAGAGUUCAAAGAUAGCCUCAACAACUUAGUGAGGCCCUAAGCAACUCAGCAAGACCCUGUCUCAA
Molecule: small RNA, 127 nt
Filed under: Marmota monax (woodchuck)
Lineage: Eukaryota; Metazoa; Chordata; Mammalia; Rodentia; Sciuridae
Source: RNAcentral